GUGGUCAUGUUGUUGGCACAUAUACUAAAGUUGAAAUGAUACAGAAAUUGUUAGCAUGGUCACUGCCCAAGGAUGACAGGCACGUCUGUAAAGCAGUUACAGUUUUG
Arvicanthis niloticus (Nile rat) is the source of this 107-nucleotide small nuclear RNA. The record is from RefSeq and is a predicted model, not a curated record. Lineage: Eukaryota; Metazoa; Chordata; Mammalia; Rodentia; Muridae.